RNAcentral lists this ribosomal RNA (511 nucleotides) under Candida albicans. RNAcentral describes it as "eukaryotic LSU rRNA". The stretch from base 144 to 297 matches the Rfam family "5.8S ribosomal RNA". Lineage: Eukaryota; Fungi; Ascomycota; Pichiomycetes; Serinales; Debaryomycetaceae. The record is from RNAcentral.
GGGCUACUGAAUGCUUAUUGCACCACAUGUGUUUUUCUUUGAAACAAACUUGCUUUGGCGGUGGGCCCAGCCUGCCGCCAGAGGUCUAAACUUACAACCAAUUUUUUAUCAACUUGUCACACCAGAUUAUUACUAAUAGUCAAAACUUUCAACAACGGAUCUCUUGGUUCUCGCAUCGAUGAAGAACGCAGCGAAAUGCGAUACGUAAUAUGAAUUGCAGAUAUUCGUGAAUCAUCGAAUCUUUGAACGCACAUUGCGCCCUCUGGUAUUCCGGAGGGCAUGCCUGUUUGAGCGUCGUUUCUCCCUCAAACCGCUGGGUUUGGUGUUGAGCAAUACGACUUGGGUUUGCUUGAAAGACGGUAGUGGUAAGGCGGGAUCGCUUUGACAAUGGCUUAGGUCUAACCAAAAACAUUGCUUGCGGCGGCAACGUCUACCACGUAUAUCUUCAAACUUUGACCUCAAAUCAGGUAGGACUACCCGCUGAACUUAAGCAUAUCAAAAGGCGGAGGAA